Molecule: ribosomal RNA, 583 nt
Filed under: uncultured bacterium
Lineage: Bacteria
Description: bacterial SSU rRNA
Rfam family: Bacterial small subunit ribosomal RNA
Source: RNAcentral
UGAACGCUGGCGGCAGGCCUAACACAUGCAAGUCGAACGGUAACAGGAAGAAGCUUGCUUCUUUGCUGACGAGUGGCGGACGGGUGAGUAAUGUCUGGGAAACUGCCUGAUGGAGGGGGAUAACUACUGGAAACGGUAGCUAAUACCGCAUAACGUCGCAAGACCAAAGAGGGGGACCUUCGGGCCUCUUGCCAUCGGAUGUGCCCAGAUGGGAUUAGCUAGUAGGUGGGGUAACGGCUCACCUAGGCGACGAUCCCUAGCUGGUCUGAGAGGAUGACCAGCCACACCGGAACUGAGACACGGUCCAGACUCCUACGGGAGGCAGCAGUGGGGAAUAUUGCACAAUGGGCGCAAGCCUGAUGCAGCCAUGCCGCGUGUAUGAAGAAGGCCUUCGGGUUGUAAAGUACUUUCAGCGGGGAGGAAGGGAGUAAAGUUAAUACCUUUGCUCAUUGACGUUACCCGCAGAAGAAGCACCGGCUAACUCCGUGCCAGCAGCCGCGGUAAUACGGAGGGUGCAAGCGUUAAUCGGAAUUACUGGGCGUAAAGCGCACGCAGGCGGUUUGUUAAGUCAGAUGUAAAAUCC